AACGCAACUUGCGCUCUCUGGUAUUCCGGAGAGCAUGCCUGUUUGAGUAUCAUGAAAUCUCAACCAUUAGGGUUUCUUAAUGGCUUGGAAUUGGGUGUUGCCAGUCCCCUGGCUCGCCUUAAAAGAGUUAGCGUGUUUAACUUGUCUAUCUGGCGUAAUAAGUUUCGCUGGUGUCGGCUUGAGAAGUACGCUUCUAAUCGUCUUCGGACAAUUCUUGAACUCUGGUCUCAAAUCAGGUAGGGCUACCCGCUGAACUUAA
Molecule: unclassified non-coding RNA, 259 nt
Filed under: Cutaneotrichosporon sp.
Lineage: Eukaryota; Fungi; Basidiomycota; Tremellomycetes; Trichosporonales; Trichosporonaceae
Also listed under: 1 other name
Description: partial contains 5.8S ribosomal RNA, internal transcribed spacer 2, and large subunit ribosomal RNA
Rfam family: 5.8S ribosomal RNA (bases 1-52)
Source: RNAcentral